Molecule: ribosomal RNA, 491 nt
Filed under: uncultured bacterium
Lineage: Bacteria
Description: partial 16S ribosomal RNA
Rfam family: Bacterial small subunit ribosomal RNA
Source: RNAcentral
GUGAACGCUGGCGGUAGGCCUAACACAUGCAAGUCGAACGGCAGCACCGUAAGCGCUUGCUCUUACGGGUGGCGAGUGGCGGACGGGUGAGGAAUACAUCGGAAUCUACUUUUUCGUGGGGGAUAACGUAGGGAAACUUACGCUAAUACCGCAUACGACCUACGGGUGAAAGCAGGGGAUCUUCGGACCUUGCGCGAUUGAAUGAGCCGAUGUCGGAUUAGCUAGUUGGCGGGGUAAAGGCCCACCAAGGCGACGAUCCGUAGCUGGUCUGAGAGGAUGAUCAGCCACACUGGAACUGAGACACGGUCCAGACUCCUACGGGAGGCAGCAGUGGGGAAUAUUGGACAAUGGGCGCAAGCCUGAUCCAGUCAUACCGCGUGGGUGUAGAAGGCCUUCGGGUUGUAAAGCCCUUUUGUUGGGAAAGAAAAGCAGCAGGUUAAUACCCCGCUGUUCUGACGGUACCCAAAGAAUAAGCACCGGCUAACUUCGUG